Long non-coding RNA from Chiroxiphia lanceolata (lance-tailed manakin), 221 nucleotides. RefSeq lists it as uncharacterized. The record is from RefSeq and is a predicted model, not a curated record. The transcript is spliced from 3 exons. Lineage: Eukaryota; Metazoa; Chordata; Aves; Passeriformes; Pipridae.
AAGAACUGCUGAACAUAGACUGCAAAGAGCCUUCUUUGCUGAGUGUGCUAUGAAAUCAAGUCCUACUGGAAGCUGGAGGUCAGCAUAGCUUCAUGACUUUGCGUCAGACCUUGUCUCGCUUCUGAAGAUUAUCGUACCUUUGAUUCUCCCCAGAGGCCCAGUUGAACAUGUUGGUUUAUUGUCUGAGAGAUCUUGCGGUGCCAAAGAAAAGAGGCCCCUUU